Molecule: transfer RNA, 84 nt
Filed under: Amycolatopsis cynarae
Lineage: Bacteria; Bacillati; Actinomycetota; Actinomycetes; Pseudonocardiales; Pseudonocardiaceae
Description: Amycolatopsis sp. HUAS 11-8 tRNA-Tyr
Source: RNAcentral
GGUGAAGAUGGGGCUGUAGGAGCCCCACCCGGCGGUAAACCGGGCGUCCUCGUGACACAGGGGGUUCGACUCCCUCCUUCACCA